Molecule: transfer RNA, 76 nt
Filed under: Gemmatimonadota bacterium
Lineage: Bacteria; Pseudomonadati; Gemmatimonadota
Description: Gemmatimonadetes bacterium tRNA-Gly
Rfam family: tRNA
About the family: Transfer RNA (tRNA) molecules are approximately 80 nucleotides in length.
Source: RNAcentral
GCGGGAAUAGCUCAGUUGGUAGAGCACAACCUUGCCAAGGUUGGGGUCGCGGGUUCGAAUCCCGUUUCCCGCUUCA